This 691-nucleotide ribosomal RNA is filed under the name Vibrio alginolyticus. RNAcentral's name for it is "bacterial SSU rRNA". It matches the Rfam family "Bacterial small subunit ribosomal RNA", at positions 100 to 774 of the family's 1533-position model. Lineage: Bacteria; Pseudomonadati; Pseudomonadota; Gammaproteobacteria; Vibrionales; Vibrionaceae. The record is from RNAcentral.
GGACGGGUGAGUAAUGCCUAGGAAAUUGCCCUGAUGUGGGGGAUAACCAUUGGAAACGAUGGCUAAUACCGCAUAAUGCCUACGGGCCAAAGAGGGGGACCUUCGGGCCUCUCGCGUCAGGAUAUGCCUAGGUGGGAUUAGCUAGUUGGUGAGGUAAGGGCUCACCAAGGCGACGAUCCCUAGCUGGUCUGAGAGGAUGAUCAGCCACACUGGAACUGAGACACGGUCCAGACUCCUACGGGAGGCAGCAGUGGGGAAUAUUGCACAAUGGGCGCAAGCCUGAUGCAGCCAUGCCGCGUGUGUGAAGAAGGCCUUCGGGUUGUAAAGCACUUUCAGUCGUGAGGAAGGUAGUGUAGUUAAUAGCUGCAUUAUUUGACGUUAGCGACAGAAGAAGCACCGGCUAACUCCGUGCCAGCAGCCGCGGUAAUACGGAGGGUGCGAGCGUUAAUCGGAAUUACUGGGCGUAAAGCGCAUGCAGGGUGGUUUGUUAAGUCAGAUGUGAAAGCCCGGGGGCUCAACCUCGGAAUUGCAUUUGAAAACUGGCAAACUAAGAGUACUGUUAGAGGGGGGGGUAGAAUUUCAGGUGUAGCGGGUGAAAUGCGUAGAGAUCUGAAAGGAAUACCGGGUGGCGAAGGCGGCCCCCUGGAACAGAUUACUGACACUCAUAUGCGAAAGCGUGGGGGAGCAAAAC